CCGAUACGUGCGGCGGGAAUAACGUGAGGCGAAACCGCUGUCAGGUAACCGAGCUAUUCGUGGCCGAACCGUAAGCCCGUGAGCCCUGUCACGGGCGUUUAACGUUACCCGCCCGAAUAAACUCCUCGCAACACCCCUCCCAGCCCCCCCACCACCACCACCACCACCCCGGCGGCUCGGGACUGCCCGGACGCGGGGACCCGGUGUAAACAAAGACGCUCUCAUUCAGCCGGUUGGUCGUCGACGCCGCCCGGGCCGGCGGUGUACUCCGUGAAGUCUACUCACCGGUCGGCUGUUCUUACCUCCGCUCGGCUCGAACGAGGGACGGGUUAUUCCAGCUCUUUUUUCUCCCCCCCCGGUCGUCUGUCCGUUAACUUUUCACAGCCAUGGAUACGCCCAGGAAGGAAGGGGAAUCUCCAAGGAGCAAGUCGAGGAGGCGCGUGCGUCAAACGCGUAGCGGUUGGCCGUUGACGUCAGCGAGCGCACGUAAACGUACGUAAGGUUGGAUCGGGAAUACGAGGGUGGACCACUCAAUUUCCCACAAUCAACACGGGCAUUUUCAACCAGGAUAUCCGGGUAUGAGCGUCAUCACGUUGGACCUACAUACAUAAUCCAAAUAAAUAUCUAUAAAUGUGUGUGUUCUUCCUAAGAAAAGCCAUUCUUCAAAUAUGCUCUUUCCUAUUUCCGUUUUUGAUCAUAUAUUAUCCAUACGCCCUUUUUGUGGUGACAAAAUAAAUGUUGAGUUUUAAUCUCCGAGUGGACCUUCUACCUCAGGCCGGUGUCAGAGCUUGGCCCUCUGGUGACACCUAGUGGCCCCCAAUCUGAACCUCAAUUCUCUACCAGCUUUUUAAAAUAGUUCUCUAAAAUGAUUUAAUGUUGCAUGUUUUAUUUUGAAAUAAAACACCCAGCGCCAUUCAUAUGAUCUAGCGGAUAAAGGCUCUCUCC
Molecule: long non-coding RNA, 945 nt
Organism: Gasterosteus aculeatus aculeatus (three-spined stickleback)
Lineage: Eukaryota; Metazoa; Chordata; Actinopteri; Perciformes; Gasterosteidae
Source: Ensembl